CCUGGUUGCAAGAUUAAUGCCUCAGCCCGUCUCAUGAAAAUAUCCCAGGGUACUAUGACUGCUGCUGAAUAUGCUAUUGAUUUCCAUACAUUGGCAGCUGAGGUUACUUGCUUGAAUUACUUGUGGGAUAGUUACACUGUGAAGAAAUUUCCUUUCUCAUAAUUGCUUGCCCUGCCACACCAGUCAUUCUGGGACUUCCUGGUUAAAACAACAUAACCCAUCCACUGACUGGAGGACUGGCCAGCUCAUCGCCUGGGGUUCUUUAUGUUAAGAAUUCUGUCUGCCUCUCGUAAAUCUCUGUGUGUCUAAUCCAUCACACCUAAUUCCACUUGUCUUCCGGGAAUGCUUCUUAGAAUUUUUUGAUGUCUUCAAGGAAAAGAAUGCUGAUAUUCUCCACAUAGACAUUAUGACUGUCCUAUUGAUCUUAUUCAGGGAGGAUGUAUCCACUCUCUAUCCCUGAGAUUCUAUGCAAGAAUACAUUCAGGAAAACCUUUCAAAAGGUUUCAUCAGGAAAUCGUCCUCCCCUGCGGGUGCUGGAUUAUUUUUUGUCCAGAAAAAAGAUGGCAGGCUAAGGCCUUGUAUUGAGUACCGGGGUCUGAACAAAAUCACUCUUAAAAACCAUUACCCUAUCCCGUUACUCACUGAACUUUUUGACUGACUGAGGAGUGCAAAACAUUUUUCCAAGUUGGAUCUCCAAAGUGCUUAUAGCCUGAUUUGCAUUUGUAAGGAUCCCAUUACCAUCCUCACUGAAUACAAAAACCUGCAAUACAUCACAUCAGCCAAAAGAUUAACUCCACGGCAGGCAAGAUGGGCAUUGUUUUUAUUCAGGUUCAAUUUUAUCAUCUCUUAUAGGCUUGGAUAUAAGAAUAUCAAGGCUGAUGCUUUGUCCAGAUCCUUGUCUUUCGAAGAAAUGUCCACGAUCAGGCCCGGACUGGCAAUCUGUGAACUCGGGCAAUUGCCCGUGGGGCCGCUCUAUUUCCUGUUCAAGUGGGCCGCUCCUGAACAGAGAAACCAGUGUGUUUCAUCCUCCGUCACCUUGAAUGAAGGCAAGGGAUAGAGUUCAAUGUGGCCCAGCUUGAAGCACUCGGUUGCCGGUAUAAUCAGGAGGGAGAGAGAGACUCUGCUGCUGUGCUCUGUGACAGCACGCCUCCUCCCCCCUCGCAGCUUCGCUGGCCUGGCUGGACUGUGUGGUUGAAUAGGAGACGUCACAGCUCGUCAUGUGACUCGUCUCGUCUAGACCUGCCUCUCUGCAUUGUGAUCCGUCGGCAUGUCAGCUCCUAGUAAGAGAUUGCAGGUCAUCCAGGGAUCAAAAAGUCAUUGGACCUCAUUUCCAGAUAUUUCUGGUGGCCAUCCCUCACUCGAGAUGUUACACAGUUUGUCGCUGCUUGCUCAGCAGAAGACUCCUCGUUCUCUUCCUUGUUGCCUUCUACAUCCUCUACCAAUACCAAGUCAACCCUGGUCUGAUCUUUCCAUGGACUUUAUUAUGGACCUACCCAAGUCUGCAGGCUAUUCCACAAUUCUGGUGGUUGUUGAUUGUUUCUCCCAUCUGCUGCCUCUCUUGCUAAAAUCUUCAUCAAGGAAAUUUUCUGCCUCCAUGGUUUCCCUACAUCUAUUGUUUCUGAUCAAGGGCUCCAAUUUGUUUCCCGCUUCUGGCCUGCCUUUUGAAAGUUAUUGGAAAUAAGCCUGAAUUUUUCAUCAGCAUACCAUCCACAAAGCAACGGUCAGACAGAAAGAACCAAUCAGAUCUUGGAAAAAAUUCCUUUGUUGUUUUAUUUCUCUAAAUCAAGACAAUUGGUCUGAACUCCUUCUCUGGACUGAGUUCGCCCAUAAUAAUCCCAAACAUGAAUCUUUGGGCUGCUCUCCUUUCUGUACAUUUGGGAGAAAUCCUCUUGCUCUUCCAUCUUCUCUACUCAGAGUAGACGGUUGAAGGUGCGGUACAAGAUUUUAAAUACAUUUGGUCAUCUGCUCAUCAGGUCCUUAAUAAAUCCUCUGUCCAUCAAAAAAAGGCAGCUGAUAAACGUU
Molecule: long non-coding RNA, 2022 nt
Organism: Xenopus laevis (African clawed frog)
Lineage: Eukaryota; Metazoa; Chordata; Amphibia; Anura; Pipidae
Exons: 2
Source: RefSeq, a predicted model, not a curated record